UGGGGAAUAUUGGACAAUGGGCGAAAGCCUGAUCCAGCAAUGCCGCGUGUGUGAAGAAGGCCUUCGGGUUGUAAAGCACUUUCAGUGGGAAAGAAAAAGCUAAAACUAAUACUUUUAGCCUUGACGUUACCCACAGAAGAAGCACCGGCUAACUCUGUGCCAGCAGCCGCGGUAAUACAGAGGGUGCAAGCGUUAAUCGGAAUUACUGGGCGUAAAGCGCGCGUAGGUGGAUGCUUAAGUCGGAUGUGAAAGCCCUGGGCUUAACCUGGGAACUGCACUCGAAACUGAGUAUCUAGAGUAUAGUAGAGGGAAGUGGAAUUUCCGGUGUAGCGGUGAAAUGCGUAGAUAUCGGAAGGAACACCAGUGGCGAAGGCGGCUUCCUGGACUAAUACUGACACUGAGGCGCGAAAGCGUGGGGAGCAAACAG
RNAcentral lists this ribosomal RNA (427 nucleotides) under uncultured bacterium. RNAcentral describes it as "bacterial SSU rRNA". It matches the Rfam family "Bacterial small subunit ribosomal RNA", at positions 355 to 775 of the family's 1533-position model. The record is from RNAcentral.